This 468-nucleotide ribosomal RNA is filed under the name uncultured bacterium. Its description in RNAcentral is "partial 16S ribosomal RNA". It matches the Rfam family "Bacterial small subunit ribosomal RNA", at positions 28 to 507 of the family's 1533-position model. The record is from RNAcentral.
GACGAACGCUGGCGGCGUGCUUAACACAUGCAAGUCGAACGGAAAGGCCCUGCUUUUGUGGGGUGCUCGAGUGGCGAACGGGUGAGUAACACGUGAGUAACCUGCCCUUGACUUUGGGAUAACUUCAGGAAACUGGGGCUAAUACCGGAUAGGAGCUCCUGCUGCAUGGGGGGGGUUGGAAAGUUUCGGCUGUUGGGGAUGGACUCGCGGCUUAUCAGCUUGUUGGUGGAGUAGUGGCUUACCAAGGCUUUGACGGGUAGCCGGCCUGGGAGGGUGACCGGCCACAUUGGGCCUGAGGGAGGGACCAGAAUCGAACCGGAGGCAGCAGGGGGAAAUAUUGCACAAUGGGCGGAAGCCUGAUGCAGCAACGCCGCGUGCGGGAUGACGUCCUUCGGGUGGUAAACCGCUUUGGCCUGUGACGAAGCGUUAGUGACGGUAAUGGGUAAAGAAGCACCGGCUAACUACGUG